UCUUCCGUAGUAUAGUGGUCAGUAUGUGAGCUUGUCAACCACUGGACCUUCCUUCCCAAAGGAUUGGUCUAAAGUGGACAUCGCUCGAGACCCGGGUUCAAUUCCCGGCGGGAGAG
Molecule: non-coding RNA, 116 nt
Organism: Schizothecium vesticola
Lineage: Eukaryota; Fungi; Ascomycota; Sordariomycetes; Sordariales; Schizotheciaceae
Source: the annotation of a GenBank genome assembly